GGAGAACGGGGCACGGACGUUGGACUCACGCGGCCAUCGAUGACCGGUGGUUGCCUUGCCUCGUUCGUUGAAAUUUCUAUGGAAUACUAUAAUAUAAUAGAUCGCAAUUUUACGAAUAGCCAAAUCCGGGGAAGCCGAUUAAGUAUACGCGUUCCUCCUCACGGAGGAUGAUCGCGCGAAGGAAUUGCGGCAUCGACGAAAUACAAAGAAAAGAUACGUCAUGGCGCUACGAGUGAGAUAAAAAUCUAGGUGAAUGUUGUGCGUUACAUCGAUUCGAGAUACAAAUACUCGAAAAAUUUGAAUACAUUGCGGACAAACGAUGAUCGUUUCAGCCUUUCAGUGUGAAACAAGUACUUACGUUUCGCCGAUUUCCGAGGAACAACCCGCAGGCGACAGGACUCACCGCUGUGUGUCCAGUAGUCGGUGUCGUGGCAGAGCGUGGACCAGUCAUUCUCCAAAUCUCGGGAACUCGCCAUGGCCGGGCGCAACGAAGGAAUCCAGUCCUCGUCGCGCUGUUACGUUGGUUAUCUCCGACAGCAAGGAACUCGCCGUCGAUCACUGCACGCGCACCGCGCACGAUCUACCUGUCGCGCCGCGAGCCCGCGCGAAAUCCUUGCGUCCUUUCGCCACGCGUGAAUCCGCGUGAAUCGGGAGAGUCGCCGAAUCAAUUUCGCAAAACCGCGCGAGAAACUUCGAGGAAGAAGUCGCGGGGAAACGGGCGAAAAUUAUUUUCGCGGCCGCGAGGGUGUCGGCACGACCACGCGGAAAUCGGCGUGGAAACGCGCCACGGACAUCGUUCCGCUAACAGCAACGCGUGAAAGGACACGAGCCGAAGCUGGGGCACAUGGGCGUCAAAGUAACCGGCACUACCUCGCGACACCCGGUUCUAUACAUUCCACACGUACGCACACGCGCGCGUAUACGUGUCGCUUACAAGCUCGUUCCACCUCUACUCGUCGUGCGUGCACUUGUUCACCGCCCUAUCGCUUCUUAUGUGUGUUACCGUUAUUGUAUUGCCGUUACCGUUGUGGAAUUUCAUGUGCGUGGAUUUUCGGACUGUUUGUUUAGUUCACCGCUUUUGUGAAAUGUUUACGAUGCGCGCACUCGUGUCGGCACGAAACCCUCUACUGACGUAACUUAUUACGGACUGCUGUGCCGUUCGCAUUCGACGAUGCUCGAGCUAAAGCUGAUUUCUGGACUUCUGUACAAUUAUCGAUUUCAGAGUGAAUGCGAAAAAAUCUGAUUAGCGAUUAUUGAUAAAUGAGCGACUGAUAAGCGCCCGCUCCGAUCAGUUAUUGUUGUUCGAUCUUAUUCUGUUAUUAGUCCGUCUGCCAACAGAUUUCAAGUAAAUUUACGUUAAAUUAAAAUUAAUGCAAUCUGCUAGCCACUGAAUUGUUUGGAAAACAUAUUUUUUUGCCUUGUUGAGAGAUUGUUGAACCGAUACAAAAAUUCAAUUAUAUAUAUUAUACUAAAGCAACGCAGCGAACUGAAUACAGCAGUAAUGAAACCGCAUAUAAUUGAAGAAAAUUAUUUAUAUCAAUUCAAAAAUCUUUUAAAGAUAUGUAUGUGGAUCGCUACAUAUUUAUGUUGCUAAAUUAAGAAAAAUAUUUUUUAUAAUGAUGGCUCUGUGUGUGUGUGUGUGAGAUAUCCACAUGAUACUUGAGAAUAUAGAGACUGUAAGAAGAUUUGCUUAAUUUAUUAUAAAUGGAUACUACAAUUUCA
RNAcentral lists this long non-coding RNA (1722 nucleotides) under Ooceraea biroi (clonal raider ant). RNAcentral's name for it is "uncharacterized LOC109610770". The record is from RNAcentral. Lineage: Eukaryota; Metazoa; Arthropoda; Insecta; Hymenoptera; Formicidae.